AUUGAAACGUUCCCAGAUGAACAGAACUGUUACUGUCCUGGUCAGCGAGACUAAUCCCCAUUGUUCCCUCACAGUGAGUUGCUUUAAAGGGGCUCCUAUGCAUCAGAGAAACUGAGCUCUAACCAAGAGGACAAGCACAGCUCAAAUACAGAGGAAUUCAAAGGCUGUUUUCCUUCUUCCUGUUGUUUUGCUCUUUAGACAGAGUCUCACCGUGUUGUCUAGACUGACCCUGGGUCUGUGGGCUCAAGCAAGGUCUGCACCACUGAGCUUUACCUCAACGUAGGAUAAUCCAAUUCUGUUUCCCUUUCCCAACUGCUUUGUUGGCAUUUAAAAGUAAAUAAAUAAAAACUUUGGAAAAGGCGUGUUAACUUUUGUAGGCCACAGUAACACUGUUAGGAAUGUGUCUACGGUUUCUGCUUGUGUUGGCUUUCCCAUUGUCUUUCUGUUCUGCAGCUUUCUGUUUCUUUGGAUAGGAUCCAUUACUAUACUUUGCAUAUUCUUUGGUGGAAUAUAAACACUAAUAACAGAAAGUCUUUGCAGAAUUUUCCUAGUAACCGGGAUAGCUUGUUCAUUGUACCUCUAUUCACAUUUUAGUUUUUUUUUUUUUUUAAGACCCAUAACUUGAGAAUUCUAAGGAGUCAAGGGUGUAAAUGUCUGGAACAAACUCAUACUUUAGCAGUUCAGAGUAAUUUUCAUCCUUGGGUACUGGGGAGGGGAGGAGAGUGGGUGUUGUCCAUCAAGAAGGCCAGGCUCAUUGUAUGCACUGGAGUCUAUUGAACAAAAGUAUCAGUGUCUAAUCUGACACUGACAUAUAUGUACGUGUGUAAAUACUGGGUAUAAAUAUCAAGUUCAGAUAUAGACAGCCUAUUUCUGUAAAAAAC
RNAcentral lists this long non-coding RNA (881 nucleotides) under Mus musculus (house mouse). RNAcentral's name for it is "long non-coding RNA chr5:31957066-31957947". Lineage: Eukaryota; Metazoa; Chordata; Mammalia; Rodentia; Muridae. The record is from RNAcentral.